CCCUCCUACACAGGUGUGUCAGUGGUUUCCUGUCUGUGGACAUGUAAGAAUUGGAGGCAGAGGUGGACUUGGAGGAGUCUGGAGCCAGCUUGCUCCCCACAGGCCCAAGAUCAUCCUUUCCCAUAUAG
This 128-nucleotide small nucleolar RNA is filed under the name Dasypus novemcinctus (nine-banded armadillo). RNAcentral's name for it is "Small nucleolar RNA SNORA38 (ENSDNOG00000029398.1)". It matches the Rfam family "Small nucleolar RNA SNORA38". From Rfam's summary of the family: ACA38 is a member of the H/ACA class of snoRNA that guide the sites of modification of uridines to pseudouridines. The record is from RNAcentral. Lineage: Eukaryota; Metazoa; Chordata; Mammalia; Cingulata; Dasypodidae.